Canis lupus familiaris (dog) is the source of this 379-nucleotide long non-coding RNA. RefSeq lists it as uncharacterized. The transcript is spliced from 2 exons. The record is from RefSeq and is a predicted model, not a curated record. NCBI's taxonomy places the organism in Eukaryota, Metazoa, Chordata, Mammalia, Carnivora, Canidae.
UCGUGGGGCGCGCCCCCAGCGCCCCGCCGCCGCCCGCCCCUCGGCCGCUCCUGUGCCCGCGCCGCUUGGCUCCCCUCGCACGGCCUCAGCAAAAUGCCUGUGCCCUGCCGCUGCCCCGAGCGCUGCGCAGCCCCGGUGUUCUUUGACGCGUCAGUUUGGGAUGGCAGGAAAGUCCUGGAGCAAGUUGUGAUGGGUUGUGCAACAGCGUGAAGGUACUUGGUGCCACUUAAAGAUAACCGAGAUGGACACAGCAAGAAGAUGGCCAUCUGCAAGCCAGGGAGAGAGUUCUCGCCAGGAACCAAAUCUGCUUGACACCUUGAUUUUGGAUUUCCAGCCUCUAGGAGGGUAAGAAAUAAAUGUAUGCUGUUUCCACCACUCA